UACGUAGGGGGCGAGCGUUGUCCGGAAUUAUUGGGCGUAAAGGGCACGCAGGCGGUCUCUUAAGUCUGAUGUGAAAUCUCGUGGCUUAACUACGAGCGGUCAUUGGAAACUGGGGGACUUGAGUACAGAAGAGGAGAGUGGAAUUCCACGUGUAGCGGUGAAAUGCGUAGAGAUGUGGAGGAACACCAGUGGCGAAGGCGGCUCUCUGGUCUGUAACUGACGCUGAGGUGCGAAAGCGUGGGUAGCGAACAGG
Molecule: ribosomal RNA, 253 nt
Filed under: uncultured bacterium
Lineage: Bacteria
Description: partial 16S ribosomal RNA
Rfam family: Bacterial small subunit ribosomal RNA
Source: RNAcentral